This 459-nucleotide ribosomal RNA is filed under the name uncultured bacterium. RNAcentral describes it as "partial 16S ribosomal RNA". It matches the Rfam family "Bacterial small subunit ribosomal RNA", at positions 338 to 795 of the family's 1533-position model. The record is from RNAcentral.
CCUACGGGAGGCAGCAGUGAGGAAUAUUGGUCAAUGGGCGGGAGACUGAACCAGCCAAGCCGCGUGAGGGAAGAAGGUACAGCGUAUCGUAAACCUCUUUUGUCAGGGAACAAAGGCGGGGACUAGUCCCCGGUUGAAGGUACCGGAAGAAAAAGCAUCGGCUAACUCCGUGCCAGCAGCCGCGGUAAUACGGAGGAUGCGAGCGUUAUCCGGAUUUAUUGGGUUUAAAGGGUGCGCAGGCGGCCUGUUAAGUCAGCGGUAAAAGCCCGGGGCUCAACCCCGGCGAGCCGUUGAAACUGGCGGGCUGGAGUUGGAGGGAAGUACGCGGAAUGCGCGGUGUAGCGGUGAAAUGCUUAGAUAUCGCGCAGAACCCCGAUUGCGAAGGCAGCGUACGGGCGCCACACUGACGCUGAGGCACGAAAGCGUGGGUAUCGAACAGGAUUAGAUACCCGUGUAGUC